This 933-nucleotide ribosomal RNA is filed under the name uncultured archaeon. RNAcentral describes it as "bacterial SSU rRNA". It matches the Rfam family "Archaeal small subunit ribosomal RNA", at positions 1 to 1324 of the family's 1478-position model. The record is from RNAcentral.
ACGGAACGACUUAGUGCGGGAUAAUUGGGUGUGUGAUUGCUAAAAGCAUUACAUAGCAGGCGGGAGACGGUGCAGCCCGCGUACACCGCGCGUCGAGUGUGACCGCUAUAUUGGUUUAAGGUUCUGUAGCCCGCCGAUAAGUCUCUUGGGAAUCUGCCCGCUCAACGGUCAGGCUUUCAGGAGAUACUGUCUGGCUCGAGCCGGGAGAGGUGAGAGGUACUUCAGGGGUAGGGGUGAAAUCUUGUAAUCCCUUGAAGGACCACCAGUGGCGAAGGCGUCUCACCAGAACGGACCUGACGGCAAGGGACGAAAGCUAGGGGCACGAACCGGAUUAGAUACCCGGGUAGUCCUAGCCGUAAACGAUACUCGCUAGGUGUCGGCCACGGUGCGACCGUGGUCGGUGCCGCAGGGAAACCGUGAAGCGAGCCACCUGGGAAGUACGGCCGCAAGGCUGAAACUUAAAGGAAUUGGCGGGGGAGCACCACAACGGGUGGAGCUUGCGGUUUAAUUGGAUUCAACGCCGGAAAUCUUACCGGGAUCGACAGCGAUAUGAAGGCCAGGAUGAAGACCUUGCUGGAUUAGCUGAGAGGUGGUGCAUGGCCGUCGUCAGUUCGUACUGUGAAGCAUCCUGUUAAGUCAGGCAACGAGCGAGACCCACGCCCACAGUUGCCAGCGUUCCCUCCGGGGAGAUGGGUACUCUGUGGGGACCGCCGCUGCUAAAGCGGAGGAAGGAAUGGGCAACGGUAGGUCAGUAUGCCCCGAAUGUCCCGGGCUACACGCGAGCUACAAUGGAUGGUACAAUGGGCAUCGACUCCGAAAGGGGAAGGAAAUCUCAUAAAGCCAUUCUUAGUUCGGAUUGAGGGCUGCAACUCGCCCUCAUGAAGCUGAAUCCGUAAUGGCUUACGAGGGGGAAUCCGGCUUACCGAACAAAAA